ACCCGGAACCAGUCGCGGCCCCUGAGGUGUCCGACGAAAAAACCUCACCCUUUGGCCUGCGUAUGAGCAAGGACGAGAACGACGGCAGCGGGCGGGGCAGUGGUCCGGGUACCACUAAAGUGAAGCCGAAGACCAAGCGGCCGAACCUCUAUCGCGUCCUGAUCCUGAACGACGACUACACCCCGAUGGAAUUCGUGGUUCAUGUUCUAGAGAAGUUCUUCAACAAGGACG
RNAcentral lists this unclassified non-coding RNA (231 nucleotides) under Hevea brasiliensis (rubber tree). Lineage: Eukaryota; Viridiplantae; Streptophyta; Magnoliopsida; Malpighiales; Euphorbiaceae. The record is from RNAcentral.